UACGGAGGGGGCUAGCGUUGUUCGGAAUUACUGGGCGUAAAGGGCGCGUAGGCGGCCUACUAAGUCGGACGUGAAAUCCCUCGGCUCAACCGGGGAACUGCGUCCGAUACUGGUGGGCUUGAAUCCGGGAGAGGGAUGUGGAAUUCCAGGUGUAGCGGUGAAAUGCGUAGAUAUCUGGAGGAACACCGGUGGCGAAGGCGGCAUCCUGGACCGGUAUUGACGCUGAUGCGCGAAAGCCAGGGGAGCAAACGGG
RNAcentral lists this ribosomal RNA (253 nucleotides) under uncultured bacterium. RNAcentral describes it as "partial 16S ribosomal RNA". It matches the Rfam family "Bacterial small subunit ribosomal RNA", at positions 524 to 776 of the family's 1533-position model. The record is from RNAcentral.